AUUGAACGCUGGCGGCAGGCCUAACACAUGCAAGUCGAGCGGAUGAAGGGAGCUUGCUCCUGGAUUCAGCGGCGGACGGGUGAGUAAUGCCUAGGAAUCUGCCUGGUAGUGGGGGAUAACGUCCGGAAACGGGCGCUAAUACCGCAUACGUCCUGAGGGAGAAAGUGGGGGAUCUUCGGACCUCACGCUAUCAGAUGAGCCUAGGUCGGAUUAGCUAGUUGGUGGGGUAAAGGCCUACCAAGGCGACGAUCCGUAACUGGUCUGAGAGGAUGAUCAGUCACACUGGAACGGAGACACGGUCCAGACUCCUACGGGAGGCAGCAGUGGGGAAUAUUGGACAAUGGGCGAAAGCCUGAUCCAGCCAUGCCGCGUGUGUGAAGAAGGUCUUCGGAUUGUAAAGCACUUUAAGUUGGGAGGAAGGGCAGUAAGUUGAUACCUUGCUGUUUUGACGUUACCAACAGAAUAAGCACCGGCUAACUUCGUG
RNAcentral lists this ribosomal RNA (484 nucleotides) under uncultured bacterium. Its description in RNAcentral is "partial 16S ribosomal RNA". It matches the Rfam family "Bacterial small subunit ribosomal RNA", at positions 30 to 507 of the family's 1533-position model. The record is from RNAcentral.